Molecule: ribosomal RNA, 254 nt
Filed under: uncultured bacterium
Lineage: Bacteria
Description: partial 16S ribosomal RNA
Rfam family: Bacterial small subunit ribosomal RNA
Source: RNAcentral
UACGAAGGGGGCUAGCGUUGUUCGGAAUCACUGGGCGUAAAGGGCGCGUAGGCGGCUUUAUAAGUCGGGGGUGAAAGCCUGUGGCUCAACCACAGAAUUGCCUUCGAUACUGUAGAGCUUGAGACCGGAAGAGGUAAGUGGAACUGCGAGUGUAGAGGUGAAAUUCGUAGAUAUUCGCAAGAACACCAGUGGCGAAGGCGGCUUACUGGUCCGGUUCUGGACGCUGAGGCGCGAAAGCGUGGGGAGCAAACAGG